GAGUAGUGGACAGAAGGGAUUUCUG
Molecule: non-coding RNA, 25 nt
Filed under: Homo sapiens (human)
Lineage: Eukaryota; Metazoa; Chordata; Mammalia; Primates; Hominidae
Also listed under: 1 other name
Source: RNAcentral